CCUACGGGUGACAGCAGUAAGGAAUAUUGGUCAAUGGACGAGAGUCUGAACCAGCCAAGUAGCGUGAAGGAUGACUGCCCUAUGGGUCGUAACUUUCUUUUAUAUGGGAAUAAAAUGUUCCACGUGUGGGAUUUUGUAUGUAUCAUUUGAUUAAGGAUCGGCUAAUUCCGUGCCAGCAGCCGCGGUAAUACGGAGGCUCCGAGCGUUAUCCGGAUUUAUUGGGUUUAAAGGGAGCGUAGAUGGAUUGUAAAGUCAGUUGUGAAAGUUUGCGGCUCAACCGUAAAAUUGCAGUUGAAACUGGCAGUCUUGAGUACAGUAGAGGUGGGCGGAAUUCGUGGUGUAGCGGUGAAAUGCUUAGAUAUCACGAAGAACUCCGAUUGCGAAGGCAGUUCACUAGACUGCAACUGACACUGAUGCUCGAAAGUGUGGGUAUCAAACAGGAUUAGAUACCCGUGUAGUC
RNAcentral lists this ribosomal RNA (460 nucleotides) under uncultured bacterium. RNAcentral's name for it is "partial 16S ribosomal RNA". It matches the Rfam family "Bacterial small subunit ribosomal RNA", at positions 338 to 795 of the family's 1533-position model. The record is from RNAcentral.